AGAGCGAACGCUGGCGGCAGGCCUAACACAUGCAAGUCGAGCGCCCGUAGCAAUACGGGAGCGGCAGACGGGAUAGUAACACGUGGGAACGCGCCCUUCGGUUCGGAAUAACUCAGGGAAACUUGAGCUAAUACCGGAUACGCCCUUGCGGGGAAAGAUUUAUUGCCGAAGGAACGGCCCGCGUCCGAUUAGCUAGUUGGUGAGGUAAUGGCUCACCAAGGCGACGAUCGGUAGCUGGGUCUGAGAGGAUGACCAGCAUCACUGGGACUGAGACACGGCCCAGACUCCUACGGGAGGCAGCAGUGGGGAAUAUUGGACAAUGGGCGCAAGCCUGAUCCAGCCAUGCCGCGUGGAUGAUGAAGGCCUUAGGGUUGUAAAGUCCUUUUAACGGGGAAGAUAAUGACGGUACCCGUAGAUAAGCCCGCUAACUUCGUGCCAGCAGCCGC
RNAcentral lists this ribosomal RNA (446 nucleotides) under uncultured bacterium. RNAcentral describes it as "SSU rRNA". It matches the Rfam family "Bacterial small subunit ribosomal RNA", at positions 26 to 518 of the family's 1533-position model. The record is from RNAcentral.